Molecule: long non-coding RNA, 4704 nt
Filed under: Anolis carolinensis (green anole)
Lineage: Eukaryota; Metazoa; Chordata; Lepidosauria; Squamata; Anolidae
Description: lncRNA (ENSACAG00000039081.1)
Source: RNAcentral
AUGCAUACAAAGUGGAAUCAAUGUAUGUCUAACAUCAGCCAGAAAACAGGAUUCCACAGGUUUGGGGGUGGCAGUCUAGUCGUGAUCAUAAAUCUUGCAGAGGAGCAGAAAAGAUCUGGAACUAUGAAAAGAUUCUGUGAAGCUACUGGAAGGCCAACCAUGGAGAAAGAAAUUGACAGCAGAAGAAAACAGAUUGAUAGUGGAAUGCUAUUACAGAGCAAAUCUAUCAGCCCAAAAUUUCCAAAAGACAAUGUAUACCAUCUGGAAAAUGUUUUCCCUCACUCUACUGUAACAGAACAGUGAUUACACAACCAAAUAUGAUAUAUUACCUAAAUAAAAUAUUCUCAAUAAUAAACUUGAAGAAUUGCAAAGAAAGGUCAAUAAGGAAAUAGAACAAAGAAGGAUGAAGAAGAAUCAAUGGUAACUGCUAACUUAGAAAAAGCAUCUGGGCCACUAACUGAAAAUUGGAAAUUUAGAAAAUGAAGAGAUGUUGGAAGAAAAUUUAGAAAGAAAACAAGUAUGGAUUUUUACUAAUCUACAAAGUGAACGAUAUAGAAAAAAAACUGGAGGAAAUUUACAGCACUGAGAACUGGAAAUGCUACUAAAGUUAAAACUUUGUCAAAGAAAGAACUAAAACAUCUAUAUCAACUUUGCAGUUCUAGCACAUCCAAAAGUUAUAUUUUUGGAUACAACCAAUUACUGUAUAGCAUAGCAACAAUAGUCUAAAGAGAGGUACUAUAUGCAAUUGAAAACUAAAGAAAACAGAAAUAGAUGGGAAACCAAAAUGUGAAACUCUUCUUGGUAAAAUUCAAAAAGAUGCUAGUACAGUAGAGUCUCACUUAUCCAACAUAAACGGGCCAGCAGAACGUUGGAUAAGCAGAAUGUUGGAUAAUAAGGAGGGAUUAAGGAAAACUUAUUAAACAUCAAAUUAGGUUAUGAUUUUACAUAUUAAGCACCAAAACAUCAUGUUAUACAACAAAUUUGACAGAAAAAGUAGUUUAAUACGCAGUAAUGCUAAGUAGUAAUUACUGUAUUUACGAAUUUAGCACCAAAAUAUCAUGAUGUAUUGAAAACAUUGACUACAAAAAUGCGUUGGAUAAUCCAGAACUUUGGAUAAGCGAGUGUUGGAUCAGUGAGACUCUACUGUACUUGAAAAACAUUACAGGAUUGAAGGUUUUAAAAUGUACAAAAAAGACGCACAAAUUGUGGUGUUUGCAACUCAGCGCCUGGAGUGAUGUUAGCUGGAGCAAUGAGGUGAUCAGAGAAGGGAGGUGGAAAGAAGGAAGUGAUUCCUCCUUUCUCCCUUCCUACCUUCUGUGUCUCUUGGUUGCUCUGGUUAGUGUUAUUACAGCACCAUUUCAUGCCCAGUUGUUACCAUAAAAUAAAGAGUGAUGAAGCAGUAAUAAUAAUAAUAAACUUUAUUUACAUCCUGCCACCAUCUCCCUGAAGGGACUGAGGCGGUUCACAGAAGCACUACAAGUGCUAAACAUAAAAUAAACAGUACAUAAACAUGAACAUGAAAACUAUCAAGGUAAAGGUAGGUGUCCAGCAGAACCAAAACAGUUCCAAACUGGGCUGUAUGGCUGCUUUCUGGUCUCCAGGUUAGUUUGGAGUGUUAAGUGUAGACACUAGGCAUGGGCAAACCUUCGGAAUAAAUCAUUUAUCAUAAAUCUGUUAUUCAAAAUAGAUCCAAAGGGUUUUCCGAGGUGGUUUGGCUCUUCAGAAUUAACCUUCCAAUUCAAAGCAUUGGUGCCCAUGCCUCUAAAUACCUUCGGAUAACCUUUGGAUAUAUGGGAAAGUGUUUUAAUUCAACCAACCUUUGCUAUUCAGGAGAGAAAUCUCCCUUCACGUUUUGGAGUGGUUGCUUUAAACUGGCUUCAGAAGUGGAGGGAGCCUGGAUCUUGACUUCCUACGCUUAAACUUGGGCUUGCAAAAGUGGAGGGAGGAUCGCUCCUGCAAACCACUUCGUCUUCCCACACUUAAACCCAGGCUUGCAAAAGUGGAGGGAGGAUCUCCCUUGCAAACCACUUCAUCUUCCCACCCUUAAACCGGGGCUUGCAGAAAGGAGAGAGCCUGAUAAUUGCAGGACUUUAAUUCUGCAGGAUCUCCCUUGCAAAAUCCCUCCUGCCUUUGCCAGAAACUUUAAGUGAGGAAAGGGGGAAACGGACAGGGGAAUCAAUCCCAAUGUGCUGGCAAAACCCCAAAGUAGAACUCUCCAUAGAAAGCAAACUAUCACCCUUCUAAGGAUUUUCACUAUUAUUUUAAAUUACCCUGAUAUUAUUAUUAUUAUUAUUAUUAUUAUUAUUAUUAUUAUUAUUAUUAUUAUUAUUAUUAUUAUUGGCACCCCACUUUUCUCUCUAGAUUUGAGACAGAAAGGGACUCAAAAUUCGUCAAAGAUGAUAGGAUAAGGAAAACGUUCUGAAAUUUGGUGAGCUAACAGUGGUAAACGUGUUCUACCACUGUAUCCAAUUUCAUUAGGAUAGCUCAAAAAUGAGGGAGAAAGAGGCCCCUCAAUUUUCCCCAUUGACUAUAAUGUUUUUCUUUAUGCACAUACGGAUCCUCCAUUAACAAAGUACAUAUGAAGCUUCAGAAACUUCAGAAAGUUUUGAAUUUUUUUGCUUCAAAAUUCGGAAAUGACUUUAGAAAUGAAGCAUCAGCGCCCCCUAUUUUAGAAGCGAGUAUUGAACCAUUUUUUUCAUGGAUCGCAAAUGCCUAGUAGACACCUAGCAACUUCAAGUUGACUCUGUAGCUAGCUCUGCAGAACUGAUCCAGAGUAUCUCACUCAGGUUCAAUAUUGCCAUUUGUGGCUCAUGUAGAUGGGCCCUGGAUAGCAAAAAAAUAGUACAAUGCUUAUGUAAAUCAGUUUGAACAGAAUAUCUCGUUUAUUUAUUUAUUUACUAUACUUUUACCCCGCCCUUCUCACCCCGGAGGGGACUCAGGGCAGCUUGACAAUGUAACAGUAAUUCAAUGCCUUUAAAACAAAAAACAAAGAACGUCAUUUAAAAUACACAGACACCGAAGGCCAGCAGUGGCGGAGCAACGCUUGGGGCCUCCCGCUGCUGCGUAGGGAUCAGAUCAAACCGCGGCCACCUCUGUCCUUGUAGCCUCGCCCAUACAAUUAAAACACAAUUAAAACCAUUAACAUCACAUGAUCCAUUCAACAUAACCUACAAAUGUUUUAUAAAACACUUUCAGAAGAAAGUUCCAAUAGAAUUACCCUGUCAGAUAAAGAUGACAGUUAUGUUUUGGAGGACACUGUGGAAUCAACAAAAAUUAUAACAAAAUGUGGAAGCAUAAUUAAUAUCAAGAGAGAUAGAAGUCAUUACAAUUAGAAUUUUAAAAAAUGCAAAACAAAGAAAAAACUUGAGCAGCCUGCAGAAGAUUUUUCACUCAAGGUUAUCACUGCAGUUUAACAUCACAGUGAAAACAACUCUUAUUGUAGAAGAAUAGAUGGCAACAAGAAAAACAGUUUUGAUUAUGAAAGAUGGGAAACCAAGAGAUACCUCUGAAAAUUACUGUCUGUUUAUUAACAAUGUUCAAACUAUUGACAGAAAAAAUAAUAAACAAAAUUCACUCCCAUCCAAUCCAAAAUUCUUGUUAUUCAGGGAAACGAGGAAGAAAAAACCAACUAGCAUGUCUAUAGAGGCAUAUAGACAUAAUAUUUUGGAUGCUAAAGAACAAAAUGCACCUAUAGAAUUGCUUUGAGGCCUGGCAAAAUACGUUGGUACAUAGCUAAAAGGGUUAAAAAAUGGAAAACUGAAAAAAAGACAUGGAAAGUCAUAUUUAUGCCCAAAGGCCAGGUGUAUCAGACAAAGAGCAUAAAAGGAAAUACUGAAAAUGAUGAAUAGUAAAAAAAAAAUGAACAUAUUGACUAAUUUAUCAGUUUGUAUAGCAAGAUAACAGUGGAUAUGAAAAAUGGCAUAAAGUGAUUGCAAUAAUACAUUGAAAUCUAUGCAAAAAAAUAAAAUAAAAACUAUCAUCUGCAAAAAAGAGUGGAAAUAUUUGCCUAGAAAAGUUGUGAUACAAAAAUCCUAUGGGACCUUAACAUUCAAACUGACAAGCAAUUAGAGCAUAAUAUGCCAAACAACUAUGUCUGAGAGAAAGAAAUCUUGGAUUACAGAAAUUGCAAUCUCAGGGGACAGUAGAAUCAAAGGCAAGGAGAUGGAAAAGAUUAUGAAAUAUUAAGACCUACAAACUGAGACUAAUUGCCUCUGGGGGAAAAAAAACCCAACAACUAUGGCCCUUAUAAUGAAAGCACUUUAGGAACAAUUCCAAUUGGACUUAAAAACAUCUGAAUGAAAUCAACAUAUAUAGGAUAGCAGCAGCACAACUAUAAAAAGGAAUGUGCCACAUUGUCCAAUGAGACCCCACAGAUUUCUAGAUUAUUUGAUAGCAUUUCAAUUAUUGGUCAUCUAAAACUGUAGUCCAUAAUACUCAAUAGACUGUGGCCGCUUCUACGCUGCCAUAUAAUCCAGAUUAUCAAAUUUGAUAAUCCAUAUUAUCUACUUUAAACUGGAUUCUAUGAGUCUAUACUGCCAUAUAAUACAGUUAAAAGCAGAUAAUCUAAUUUUUAUAUGGCAGUGUAGAAGGGGCCUGAGAAACUCAGACAAUAAGGGAACACAUGGGGAACUGCAAUAACAACCUUCAAUGUAAACUCAAAUCUAUACUCAUUCUAUACUGACCACUAAUCCAUUUCCACAACAC